Molecule: transfer RNA, 73 nt
Filed under: Candidatus Atribacteria bacterium
Lineage: Bacteria; Pseudomonadati; Atribacterota; Atribacteria
Description: tRNA-Val
Rfam family: tRNA
About the family: Transfer RNA (tRNA) molecules are approximately 80 nucleotides in length.
Source: RNAcentral
GGGUCGGUGGUCUAGUGGUUAUGACGCUGCCCUUACAAGGCAGAGGUCGCAAGUUCAAUUCUUGCCCGACCCA